This 375-nucleotide ribosomal RNA is filed under the name uncultured bacterium. RNAcentral's name for it is "bacterial SSU rRNA". It matches the Rfam family "Bacterial small subunit ribosomal RNA", at positions 524 to 898 of the family's 1533-position model. The record is from RNAcentral.
UACGUAGGGAGCAAGCGUUGUCCGGAAUCAUUGGGCGUAAAGGGCGCGUAGGCGGCCUGUUAAGUCAAGUGUGAAAAUCAACGGCUCAACCGUUGAACUGCGCUUGAAACUGGCGGGCUAGAGAUCAGGAGAGGAAAGUGGAAUUCCUAGUGUAGCGGUGAAAUGCGUAGAUAUUAGGAAGAACAUCUAUGGCGAAGGCAGCUUUCUGGACUGACACUGACGCUGAGGCGCGAAAGCGUGGGGAGCAAACAGGAUUAGAUACCCUGGUAGUCCACGCCGUAAACGAUGGAUACUAGGUGUAGGGGGUUCGAUUCCCUCUGUGCCGCAGUUAACGCAAUAAGUAUCCCGCCUGGGGAGUACGGUCGCAAGAUUGAA